CAAAUAUGAGUUCGAAUAAGUGAUAUAAUGGUAUAAUAUAAGAUUU
RNAcentral lists this non-coding RNA (46 nucleotides) under Trypanosoma brucei brucei. The record is from RNAcentral. Lineage: Eukaryota; Euglenozoa; Kinetoplastea; Trypanosomatida; Trypanosomatidae.